GUAAGCGGUACAGCGAAAGCGUUAAGUUAUCCACCUGGGGAGUACGCCGGCAACGGUGAAACUCAAAGGAAUUGACGGGGGCCCGCACAAGCGGAGGAACAUGUGGUUUAAUUCGAUGAUACGCGAGGAACCUUACCCGGGCUCGAACGGUAGAUGAAAGAUCUGGAAACAGACUGACCGCAAGGACAUUUAUCGAGGUGCUGCAUGGUUGUCGUCAGCUCGUGCCGUGAGGUGUCGGCUUAAGUGCCAUAACGAGCGCAACCCCUAUCGUUAGUUACCAUCAGGUUAAGCUGGGGACUCUAGCGAGACUGCCACCGUAAGGUGUGAGGAAGGUGGGGAUGACGUCAAAUCAGCACGGCCCUUACGUCCGGGGCUACACACGUGUUACAAUGGGAUGGACAAAGGGUCGCUACCUGGCAACAGGAUGCUAAUCUCAAAACCAUCUCCCAGUUCGGAUUGGAGUCUGCAACCCGACUCCAUGAAGCUGGAUUCGCUAGUAAUCGCGCAUCAGCCAUGGCGCGGUGAAUACGUUCCCGGGCCUUGUACACACCGCCCGUCAAGCCAUGGAAGCUGGGGGUACCUGAAGUUCGUAACCGCAAGGAGCGACCUAGGGUAAAACUAGUAACUGGGGCUAAGUCGUAACAAGGUAGCCGUACCGGAAGGUGCGGCUGGAACACCUCCUUU
RNAcentral lists this ribosomal RNA (684 nucleotides) under Dysgonomonadaceae bacterium PH5-43. RNAcentral describes it as "bacterial SSU rRNA". It matches the Rfam family "Bacterial small subunit ribosomal RNA", at positions 839 to 1533 of the family's 1533-position model. Lineage: Bacteria; Pseudomonadati; Bacteroidota; Bacteroidia; Bacteroidales; Dysgonomonadaceae. The record is from RNAcentral.